Molecule: long non-coding RNA, 2070 nt
Organism: Sparus aurata (gilthead seabream)
Lineage: Eukaryota; Metazoa; Chordata; Actinopteri; Spariformes; Sparidae
Source: Ensembl
CUCUACCUCUGUUUGUGAGCGAUCAGCCUUAAAGCUGUACAUCCUGGUUGAGUGAACUGAAGUCUUUGCAUAGAGGAGUCGCCUGGAUAAUUUAGCUCGCAGUGCAGCAUGUGACCAGGAGUCUAUAUGCUUAAUUGUUUUUGUGCUAGUUUUCCAUUCACAGUGCUGAUGCUUCAGAGAGCAUCAUCGGGUACGCGCAGCAUCCGGAGGACCGACCGUGCGCGUCCACGAGAGAGAGAGGAGAGUGAAAGGAGGAGGAGGAGGGGGGAGAGAGACAGGGUGCUGAAAAUGAUGGCGACCGAUGCAGAGGAGAUAAGAACCCAAACAAGCCCCUGCCCCAUCCCCGACAACAGUCUCAGCACCCUGUCCAUCAAAAUCACGCGGAAAAAUCAGGACAGACACUGGAAGUUGCGGUUUAUUUACCUGCAGUGCUAUUUCUUGACAAUUGCAACAAUACUGGGAACUGGAAUCUUAGGUCUUCCAGUGACAAUAGCCCACGCUGGACUGGUGCCUUUCCUUGUCUCGUUUCUUGUUGGCUUCUUUGUUCAGGCCUUGCUUAUCUACCUGUUUGUCGAACUUCUUCAGAAAUGUCAGGUGGUGCAGCUGGAAUCUCUGAAGACAGGUGUUGCAGAGUGUAUUGUCAUGGAUCAGGUGGGUGUGGAGGCUCCAUCACCCACAGAGGAAGAGGACGAGGAUGAUUCGAGUGAAAAUGCAGAAGCAGACACAGGUCUACUUCAGCCUGAUGCAGUAUCUUUGCACAACCAAGCAGAGAACCUGGAGCCCAACCUUCAUCUGCUCGGCCACCUCUUCCUCUCCCGGCCAAUGAGUCAUGCCUUCAACUGCAUCCUCCUCUUCCAGUUUAUUUCUAUUGGAAUAAGUUAUGUCUUAGCCGGCAGUGAGGCCUACGCUGCUCUUCUUAAUAUCAGCCACAUCUACGUCAUCCCGGUGUUCACCUGGAUCCUAACUCUUGCCAUCUUACUGGCCCACACAGUCAUCCAGCCAGUCACGUCGCUGCUCACCCUGCUGAAAGGGAUCCUGCUCAUUGUCACGGUGGCUGUGACAUUCGCGGUGGGGUCAGAGGUCGGCCUUCAAAGCAGCAGUGACUUCAGGCAGAUGGGGAAACCUUUCCUAAUGGGCACGGUGGCUCUGGGAGGGAUCGUAAACGUGAUGCCUCUGCUCUUCUCACAGAUCUCACACAACAAAACACAGAUCCUUUGGUUUCGGAGAGCAGUGCUCGGAGGUCUGACAACCUGUACUGUGCUCAACAUCCUCUGGUGCUGGGCGGUGCUGGAAAUCGUCCCCCAGACGUCGUUAUCAGAAAGGCGGACGCCGGCUGAGACGAUGACCCAUCCCGACUCCAGCAUCCCGCCUGGUCCUCCUUCGUCCGUCUCUCCUCUGCUGUACUCCAACAUCUCACUGGAAGAGUCUGAGAAAGCGGGAGAGAUUGCAACUAUUCCACUGACGAAGAUUAUUAAUGAACGUUACAGGGCGUACUCCUGGGUGGCUGAGCUGAUCCAGGUCUUCAUCGCCAUCAGUGUCAGCGUCUCCUUCCUGGUGAUGGGAUCUGCCAUGAAACACACCAUCGACGGCCUGGUGACGGCGCUGUGGAGCAGCAGGCUGGAGUGGCUGUCCAAAGCCUGGGAGAGAAACCUGCCAAACAAACAGCACAUCUGCUCUGCGAGGAGCUUGGCCAAAGGAUUCAUGUCGCUGCUUGGAUUUACUAUCAUUUUUAUCGUAUCAAUGUGUGAUCCCAGGGGUUUUAUCGUCAUGUUGGACAAAGUCGUGUCGUUCUCGCUCAACACUGAAGUCGGCCUGUUUGUCUUCAUCAUGCUGAGAGAAGCCAGAGAGGACAGAUUCCAGCACCUGGCCGUCCCGCUGCCGGUCGGCGACUGCGUCUUCAGCCUCAGCUGGCUGCUGCCCUGCUACUUCCUGUUUGCGGUCACCUACGACGUGCUGCAGACGCUGGCGGACGUGGCUCACUACCUGCACCUGUACAGCCACGGCCUGGAAGCACACGUCCACAACCUGACCGAGAACUUCACGGCAGCCAAUCUGUCCGUCCUGCUCUGA